CGCUUGGAUUGAGAAAAGCUAAGGACUUGUCAGAGAGCCACUGGGUCAGUCUUCAAGUAUUCAGCUGAUCCCAUUUGAUCCUGCACCUCCAGCUGAGGAUGGGUGUGGCAGAUACCAGACAUUGUGGACCAGGAUGUAAGAACCCCUUUAGUCCCUGUGAAGUCAUCUCUAAUCCAGUGUGA
Molecule: long non-coding RNA, 182 nt
Filed under: Lynx canadensis (Canada lynx)
Lineage: Eukaryota; Metazoa; Chordata; Mammalia; Carnivora; Felidae
Description: lncRNA (ENSLCNG00005020543.1)
Source: RNAcentral